RNAcentral lists this ribosomal RNA (444 nucleotides) under Herbaspirillum seropedicae. RNAcentral describes it as "bacterial SSU rRNA". It matches the Rfam family "Bacterial small subunit ribosomal RNA", at positions 1001 to 1449 of the family's 1533-position model. The record is from RNAcentral. Lineage: Bacteria; Pseudomonadati; Pseudomonadota; Betaproteobacteria; Burkholderiales; Oxalobacteraceae.
AAGAGAUUUGGGAGUGCUCGAAAGAGAACCGGCGCACAGGUGCUGCAUGGCUGUCGUCAGCUCGUGUCGUGAGAUGUUGGGUUAAGUCCCGCAACGAGCGCAACCCUUGUCAUUAGUUGCUACGAAAGGGCACUCUAAUGAGACUGCCGGUGACAAACCGGAGGAAGGUGGGGAUGACGUCAAGUCCUCAUGGCCCUUAUGGGUAGGGCUUCACACGUCAUACAAUGGUACAUACAGAGGGCCGCCAACCCGCGAGGGGGAGCUAAUCCCAGAAAGUGUAUCGUAGUCCGGAUUGGAGUCUGCAACUCGACUCCAUGAAGUUGGAAUCGCUAGUAAUCGCGGAUCAGCAUGUCGCGGUGAAUACGUUCCCGGGUCUUGUACACACCGCCCGUCACACCAUGGGAGCGGGUUUUACCAGAAGUGGGUAGCCUAACCGCAAGGAGG